AUGAUCAUCUUGUGCCACUGAUUGGUUAUUGCGAUGAGCAGGAGAUGAUGCUCCUGGUCUAUGAGUACGUGGCUGGUGGAAAUCUAAGUGAGCACCUUUAUGGGACCAGGAAACCACCCCUUAACUGGAUUCAGCGCAUGGAGAUCUGCGUUGGUGUUGCUCGUGGCCUGUGCUACCUUCACGGAUGGCAGCUCACCCACGGGGCAGUGAGGACAUCAAACAUCCUACUGGAUGAGGAAUGUCUUGCUAAGAUUACCAAUCUAGCACUGCCGCCCAAUCUUUUGGAUAACCAGGCAUCCAAAGUCCAUGAAACUGAUGGUUACAUCGAUCCAGAAUACUUGCACACCGGUGUGCAUACUGAGAAAUCAGAUGUCUAUUGUUUUGGCCUUGUGCUACUCGAAGUCCUCUUUGGUCGCCCUGUUAUCAAGCACCAACGUCUUGAGGAACAAAUUGCGUGGUUGUUAAUCCGAGGAGUUCAACAGCAGACAUUGGACUACCUUGAUCAGAAUGUUGACCCAUUCCUAAGGGGAAAAAUUAAUCCACAGUUUCUGAAGAAAUUUUUCCGUACUGCCGCUAAGUGCCUUGCUGAGAAAGGCAUUCACCGCCCAUCGAUGCGAGAUGUAAUGUCAGACCUGCAGUAUGCCCAUUUCUCCCUUAAGUUGGGUUGGAUCACAGAUGAUAGCGGUUGCAUGUCAGACGAUGCCAUGGAUGAGGGGAGGUGAUUGUGGAUUCUGAACUCUGAUGACCAGGCAUAGCAUGAUUCCACGAGUUUGUUCUGUUAUUACUCUCCCUUGUUUGCGAUAUAGUAGUAGAUUUAGUUGUCCUGUAUCCUGUCUUGCUUAUUGUCUCCAACUCUGUUGUACGAGUACCGGUUAUCUCCAACUGGCUUGUAUUGUGUAUCGCUUGCUAUUUACCCAAUGAAUACCUAGCUCUGCUAGCAUCAUCAUCCUUUGCGCACUACUGUAGGAGUAAGUCAACUUUGUUACACGAAAACAUUGGGUUCUUGUUUUUUCACCCUUGUUUCUGUGAGCUUGUGUAUCUGUAUGUGUCCCUUCGGCAGGAGACUGGCCUCUUCCAGAGCCGAUGUGAGGAAUGUCUUGCUAAGAUUACCAAGCCGCCCAAUUUUUUUGAUAACCAGGCGACCGAAGUCCGUGAAACUGAUGGUUACAUCGAUCCAGAAUACUUGCACACCGGUCUGCGUACUGAGAAAUCAGAUGUCUAUUGUUUUGGCCUUGUGCUACUCGAAGUCCUCUUUGGUCGCCCUGUUAUCAAGCACCAACGUCUUGAGGAACAAGUUGCGUGGUUGGUAAGCUGGCAGUUCAGUGUCCGGCGAUGGACUACCUUGAUCAGAAUGUUGACCCCUUGUUUACUUCCCUAAAUAUUUUGCAAAAUGUUUCAGAUUUUCCGUCACAUCGAAUCUUAUGGCACAUGUAUGGAGCAUUACAUAGUUUGCAUGUAAUUUGCGAGAUGAAUUUUUUAAGACUAGUUAGCCUAUGAUUGAAUAAUAUUUGUUAAAUACAAACGAAAGUGUUACUGUUUAUAUUUUGCAAAUUUUUUUACAAGUAAACAAGGCUUUGUCGUCUCCUACUUUGUUGUACGAGUGUAUCGCUGAUUCGCUGCUAUUUACCCAACGAACACGUAGCUCCGCUGGCAUCAUUAUCAUCCUUAGCGCAUUAUUGUCGAACUAAGUCAACUUUGUUAUACACAAACACUACAAGAUUGGUUUUUUUUUCACCCUUGUUUCUGUGAGGUUGUGUUUGUGUAACCGUACGGUGUCCCACUGUCCCUUCGGCAGGAGACUGGCCCCUUCUUGCCGCAGAGUGCAUAGUCGAUGUCGAUGUGAGAGCGCCAUAGGUGGUGCUCAAAGCCUUCAUGGCUGGGCUGGCAUGCGCCCGGCGCGACAUGCCGACACAUUCAUAGCCUCGAAGUUUUUUCAACUUCACUCUAUAGCCUACUCCCAGGUCCAUCCGUAACGGUGCGACCUUCAACUGUUCGGUGGAGGAGGUGGACGGCAUGGCCGCGUCGCCACGCUUGCGCACAGCUUCUCGACCGGCCCACACUCGCUUGGGAUGGGAGCACGUGGGCUGUGGCGACUGCCAAGUGAUCGGCGGCGGCCGAGGUGUUGCGAUUGUGAGUGUUUGUUACCGCCCGUGGCGAUGGUUGUUGCGCCAGCACGGUGAGGUAGCAUGGCACCCUCCGCGCGCACCACGGUUGCUCGAUGGAAUGCCUCAACAGCAUCUUUGCUGGAAGACAAACAGUGGGCAGCUCGCUUUCCGGCUGGACGUACAGAAAAUGAAUUUUCAACACCCACUGGCCACUGCUGCACUGCAGCAGAGGGCUGGAGAUUCAGCUUGGCGGUUGACUCUCUCGGCAUUGGCAUCUCUUGUCUCCACUCCAUUCAUCCAUCCAUUGCAAGGUGAGCGUCUGUCAUACACUGGAGGGCCGGGAGACGAUAGACUCUCGUGCUUGACGGUUGACUCGCUCAGCACUGGCAUCUCUUCUCUCCGUUCCAUUCAUCCAUCCUUCACAGGUAUGUCUUCAACCAUGCUUGCUCGUCCAUCCUUAUUACCAGAUACAUAUCCCUUUGCAAUUUUUAUUUUACGCAUUUUUUAUCCGCCUCAAAAUUCUCGGGAUACUUUCAACUCAGCUGAGCUCUCAAGUUUGCCUACAUCUCGAGAUACAAUACAAGGACGAACAAGGAAAUUGACCCUGCUACCUUCUGGUAUGUCUUUGAUCUUUUGUUAGACGUAGAUCUGAGUUUCAGAGGAGAAAUUUCGAUCUCGUUUUAAAGUAUUUUCUCAUGUUGGGUGUAGGCAUCACUAUUAACUCCCAACAGCUAGAUUCACCCAUUGUUUCUCAAGUUUAAACCUGUCGCAGGACAUGGGAUUUAACCGAAUUAAUUGCCAUACCGGUCCAAUUUGUUCUUGAACCAAUGUAAAGUUAAGCAAUCAAUGUCAUGCUGCCAUUACUGACAAUGGUAUUGUUUCUAACAAAAGGGACACCAAUAUAAUUUGGGCAAUGGACAUCCAUUUCUGCUACAAAAUCACUUCAUAUUUUGUGGACUCUUGGAGCUGCUCUUGCACUGUAAAAAUCUGUGUUAGACUAAACCGAAACAAACACUCUGGAAACAACAAUUUUUUCCAAGAGCUCCGUGGCAUUUUGGUCCUUUUCUGAAAGAAACAUUAGGGAGCUGAAAUUCGUUCAUUCAAGAGGGUGGAAAUAACUUUUUGUUACAGAUUACUGGUUUACUAGGUUCUAAGGACUUUUCCACAUAAACAGUGUACUACCAUAAAGAUUAAGGUUCUGACUUUGCUGCAUCAAUCAUCUUCUAUGGUUUUUUGUUGUUAUCCAGUGUUUUACUCAAUGGCUAACUAUCAUAUAUAUGAACUCCAGUACUCCACUGCUUCCACAGGCGGAAUCCUCCAGCAACAAAGUGAUGGAACUUAUCCAAGAAGCUGAUAGAUCUAAGUGGAUGAUGCACAGUAAUCAUAGCAUAAGAUGCUUUACUGGAGGUGACAUAGAAAGAAUGACCAACAGCUAUAGAACUUGUCUUGGAAGAGGUGCCUUCGGAGAAGUAUAUGAAGGGAUUCUUGAGGACGACAGCAUGGUUGCAGUGAAAAGGUUGAUCGGAAAUAUGAAAGAAAACUUUGCUAAAGAGUUUAUCGUCCAUCGUGAAAUCAACCACAAGAAUGUAGUGAGGCUCAUUGGUUAUUGUGUAGAGGAAAAUGCCCUUAUUUUGGUCAUGGAGUAUAUCGCUAAUGGAAAUCUGAAUGAUGUUCUUCACGAUGAUAACCGUCCCAUCCCUUUGGAUAUAAGACUUAGAAUUGCCAUUGAGUGUGCGGAAGCUUUGGCAUACAUGCAUUCUCACAUGUAUACUCAGGUUAUCCAUGGCGACAUCAAGCCUGGUAACAUACUCUUAGAUAGAAACUUUCAUGCAAAAUUGUCGGACUUCGGAAUAUCAAGAGUGGCCAACACAGAUAAGACACUAUACACAAAGAAUGUAAUUGGGAGCAUAGGUUACAUGGACCCUUUGUUUUCUUUGGAUGGUCGUAUCACUGUUAAGUAUGACGUUUAUAGCUUUGGAGCUGUUCUCGUUGAACUGAUCACUAGGAAAAAGGCAGUAGUUGAUAACGUCAACAAUGUUUAUGCAUUUAAUAAUGCUCUUACAAGUGGGAUCCGGGGUGUGAGAGAGAUGUUCGAUGUUGACAUUGCAAGCAAGAAUAACUUGAAGGUUCUUGAAGGAGUUGCAAAGCUAGCAGGUGAAUGCCUAAGGAUGGACAGGGAAAAACGUCCUGAGAUGAUUGAUGUGGUGGAACGUCUUCGGGUGCUACAGAAAUCUUCAAAUCAGGAUCAGCGACGGCGACGUGUAGAUAUGUUCUCUUGGGUAAGGAAGAGCAAUCCAGCACCUCCUCCUUCAGAUGUGUAUCGCCGGUUCUCGUUUGCAGAGAUAAAGGCUGCAACAAACAACUUUGAUGAAUCACUCCUUGUUGAGGAAGGUGAAUCUGGUAGAGUUUACUGUGGCCAGGUUAAUGGACGAAAAACCAAUGUGGCUAUCAAAUAUCUACAGAACGGACUCAAUGAAUUGUAUGCGGAGAUAAAGUUCUUGCCAAGGCACCGAAUCCGCCAUCGUCAUCUUGUGGCCAUGAUCGGUUACUGCAUUGAAGAGGAUGAAAUGAUAAUGAUACUGGUGUACGACUACAUGGCUCGUGGAAGUCUGCGUGACCACCUCCAUGGGAUCCAGAAGACGCCCCUUUCCUGGAAGCGCCGUACAGAGAUAUGCAUUGGUGCAGCUCGUGGCUUGCACUACCUUCAUGAACUACCGUUCAUCCAUCGUAAUGUGACCUCAGAAAAAAUCCUGCUGGUUGAGGAAUGGGUUGCCAAGAUUACUGUACUUCCACUUUCCAAUACUCUGACAUUAUCAGUUGAGCAUGGAACUUAUGGUUAUGCCGCUCCUGAGUACGUGAGGAACAGUUAUCUUACUGAGAAAUCAGAUGUCUAUUCAUUUGGUGUUGUGUUACUGGAGGUCCUCUGUGCUCAGCCUGCAUGGAAAUGGGAUGAGUAUUUUCCAACCGAACAAUUAGUGUUGACAAAUUGGGCAUUGUGUCAAGGGCGUUCUUGCCCAGCGACGGCGGCCCUCGGCUACGUAGCUCGUAGCCUUGGUCCGUGAUAACUGGCGGGGUUAUGCCCCCUCGCCUAACCUCGCUGGUCGGGUUAUACCCCCUGGCCGGCGGCUUGAGAGAAGAGAGAAGAGAGAUAGGUUUAAUCUUGCUUGAUUCCAAAAGGUCUCCAAUUACAAGGCUUUAUAGCCUGGACUCCCAACAAGAAAGGAAACUAAUCUUCUAGACUUAAGGAAACCAGAUAAUAUCUUUCUAAACAAACCAAAUCUUACCAAACCUAGACUCUCCUUUUCUGGCCAAGCCGCCUGGGCGCCUGGCUAGCCACUAACGGCGCCAGCCCCCUUGGCCAGGCUCUGGGCGCGCUUAGCGGCCCUGCGCACAUCGCGCAGCCUGCGACGCCUAGUGUAUGUAUUUCCCCCACAUGACAUCUCUCCCUUCCUCGAGAGGCAGCUCGUCCUCGAGCUGGAACUGUAGGUAUGAAGCGCGGAAGACGUCAACAUCUUCCCAUGUAGCUGAAGCCGGCGACGACCCCUUCCACUUGAUGAGGACUUGACGCACACCCCUGGCCAAGUGUGACUUGACCACUUGCUCAGGCUCGGGCACCACUGCACCAUGGCGGAGCGGAGGAAGGGGCGGCGGAGCUGCUGGAGGCUCGCCGUGGUACUUCUUAAGAAGGCCCACGUGGAACACGUCGUGGAUGCGAGCUUGGGGUGGCAAGUCGAGGCGGACCGCGACGUCGUUGAUGAGAUCCACCACCCGGUAUGGCCCGUAGAACUUGGGCUUCAGCUUGCCUGCAGGAGCCGCGGACAGGGACGCAGCCGGCCUCUGUCGAAGGCGAAGGAGCGCCCAGUCUCCCACCAGGUAAGAGACCGGCCGAUGGCCCCGGUCGUAGUGGCGUUUUUGGACUGCCUGGGCCUGCUCGAGUCGGUGCUUGACGUCGGCGAUGAACUCGGCGCGUUCCUCCAUGGUCUGAGCCACCGCAGCGACCCGGGUUUCGCCCGGCUCGUAGGAGCGAAUGGACGGCGGGUCCCGGCCGUACACGACACGGAAUGGAGUGUCGUGGAGCGAAGACUGGAACGCGGUGUUGAAGAUGUACUCUGCCCAUGGAAGCCAACGCAGCCAGUCGCGAGGUCUGUCUCUUGUCAGGCAACGCAAAUACAUGAUGAUGACUUUGUUAGCUGAUUCGGACUGCCCGUCCGUCUGGGGGUGAAAAGCUGUCGACAUCUGCAGUUUGGUGCCGCUAAGGCGCAUCAACUCGCGCCAAAAAUUGGAGGUGAACACCGUGUCGCGGUCGGACACGAUGGACUGUGGAAUGCCGUGCAGCCUAACAACGUCCGCGAAGAAUGCUUGGGCCACCCCCUCCGCCGAGUACGGAUGCGCCAAGGGAAUGAAGUGGCAAUACUUGCUGAAUCUGUCGACGACGGUGAGGAUGACAGACUUGCCCUUAACGCGGGGAAGGGUCUCGACGAAAUCCAUGGCGAUGUCGGACCACACACCCUGCGGCACGGGUAGUGGUAGUAGGAGCCCCGCUGGGUGAAGAUGCUCUGAUUUGUGGCGCUGGCAGAUGGAGCAGCCCCGCACAAAGUCCUGCACCACCGUCUUCAUGUGAGGGAAGUGAAAAUCGCGACGGAGCCGGUGCAGCGUACGCUGGACCCCCUCAUGGCCCUCCUCGUGGACGGCGCGCAGAGCCUCCUGCAGCAAGGGAGAGGCCGGUGGGAGGUACAGCCGCCCGCUGUACGUGACCAGCCCGUCGGACAGCGCCCAGGGAAGCGCCCGUGUACCCGCACUGAUCUCCUGCUGGAGUGCGACGAGGGCCGGAUCAGUUGCGUGAGCCUGGCGCAGUCUCUGCACGAAGUCGAAGCGGGGCGCGGACAGCACCAGCACCGCGCUCUCCUCGACAGUAUCCCGCCGUGAGAGAGCAUCAGCCACGGCGUUCGAGUGCCCCGGCUUGUAUUCCACGGCGAAGUCGAAGCCCAGCAGCUUGCCAACCCAGUGAUGCUGAGGAAUGGUUGACAAGCGCUGAUCCAGCAGGUACUUGAGGCUGUAGUGGUCGGUCUUGACAGUGAAGCGGCGCCCCCAUAAAUACGGUCGCCAAUGGCGAACUGCGUGGACAAGACCGAUGAGCUCGCAUUCAUAGGCGGCGAGAGCUCGGUGCCGUGGCGCCACGGGGCGGCUGAAGAAGGCGAUGGGGUGGCCCUCCUGGACCAGUACCGCCCCGAAGCCAUGCGACGAUGCGUCGCACUCGACGGUGAACUGCUUGGAGAAGUCCGGCAUGGCGAGCACCGGCGCCGAGGUCACCGCGUCCUUGAGGGCGUCGAACGCAGCAGCGGCCUCGGCGGACCACGAGAAGCCGUCCUUCUUCAGCAGGGCGGUGAGAGGUGCUGCGAUGGUCCCAUAAUUGUGAACAAACUUGCGGUAGUAGCCGGCGAGUCCCAGGAACCCACGCACUGCCCGGGAGGACCGUGGCUGUGGCCAGUCCCGCACGGCUUGGAGUUUGGCGGGGUCCAUGGCGACGCCAGCAGCAGAGACGAUGUGGCCGAGGUACGCGACCGACGCUGCAGCGAACGCGCACUUGGAGCGCUUGAGGAAGAGUUUGUGACGCUGCAGCUCGUCGAAGACCGCACGAAGAUGGCGUAGGUGAUCGGCCCAAGUGCUGCUGUAAAUCAAAAUAUCGUCAAAGAACACCAGCACAAAACGACGGAGGAACGGACGAAGAACAUCAUUCAUCAAAGCCUGGAACGUGGCCGGAGCAUUGCAUAGUCCAAAGGCCAUGACCAGGAACUCAUAGAGGCCGUCGUGCGUGCGGAACGCCGUCUUGUGGAUGUCCGCCGGCCGCAUGCGGACUUGAUGGUACCCCGAGCGGAGGUCGAGCUUGGUGAAGUAGCAGGCCCCAUGGAGCUCAUCCAAGAGCUCGUCGACCACCGGUAUGGGGAACGCGUCUUUGAUGGUGAGCGCGUUGAGCGCUCUGUAGUCGACGCAGAAGCGCCACGACCCGUCCGGCUUCUUGACGAGGAGGACCGGGGACGAGAACGCGGAGUCGCUGCGCCGUACGAUGCCUUGCUCCAUCAUGGCGGCGCAUUGCCGCUCGAGUUCAUCUUUGUGCGCAGCGGGGUAGCGGUAGGGCCGAACAGCCACCGGCAACGCGCCGGGCUUGAGGACGAUGCUGUGGUCGCGGGUUCGCUGAGGGGGCAGACCAGCCGGCUCCGCGAAGAGGCUCCCAAAGACGAGCAGCAGCUCGUCCAGGAGGGUCGUCGGUGCUGUCACGGCGGCGCUGAGGGCCGGCGUGGGUGUGGCCACGUCGGACCAGCACACGCGCCUGUCCUGGCGGGUAAAGGACAGGGUGCGCGCGGUGAAGUCCCACUCAAUCCGGCCCAGGGUUACCAGCCAUUGGGUGCCCAGGACCAGAUCAUAACCGGCGAGGGGCAGAACGUAGAGGUCGACGCAGAAGCUCUCGCCGUCGAUGACGAUCGGCGCCUGUCGCAGCACGCCGGGACACGCGAUGCGUUCGCCAUUGGCGACGGUGGCGGUGAGGCGCGGGUCGGCGAGGAUGGUGAGGCCGGUGCGCGUCGCAGCCGUCUCCGCGAUGAAGUUGUGGGUAGAGCCCGUGUCGAGGAGCGCAGUGAGGGUGACGUCGCCCACGGCCACUCGGACCUGCAUAGUAUCACAGAUGGGCAUACCCGUGAUGGCGCGGAGGGAGAACACUGGGGCAGCUGGCUCGGCAUCGUCGGGAACGGCCUCCUCGUCUGCGAGCUCGAUCCCAUCAAUGAAGAAGAUGCGGCGGCAGACCCGGUUGUGACCCCUGGAAUACGGCUCGUUGCAAUUGUAGCAAAGACCGAGGCGUCGUCGUUCUGCCUGUUCCUCGGUCGAGAGCCGCUUGACCUGGUUGGGCGCGCCCCUGGGUGGUGGUGCUGGGAGCGCUGGCAGGGCCGGCGCCGGGGCCGGGAGCGCCAGGGGUGCUGGAGCCGGCCUGACCGCCGGCCGAGGUGCUGGACCAGCACGCGGGGCUGGUGGCGGGAGCGCGGCCUGGGUGCGAUCCAGCUCCAUCAGCUCGACCUGGCGCGCCAGACUCAUCGCGGCGGCGAGGGUCUCCGGGUUGUGGAUGCGAACUGCGUGACUCAGGGGCGGGAGCAGUCCCCCUGUGUAGAGCUGAACGCGCUGGGUCUCCUCCAAUCGCCCGGCGCGCGGCAGCAGGGCCUGAAAACGAUUAGAGUAUUCUUCGACAGUACCUGUGCGGCGACACUCCGCGAGCUCGAAGAGCGGAGCCGACCUCAGGGGCGGCCCAAACCGCAAGUGGAGGAGGUCUUUGAAUCGGCCCCAGGAAGGAGUGCCCUCGUCCUCUUGCAACUGGAUGAACCAGAGCUGGGCGACAUCUUCGAGGUUGUAGGACGCCAUCCAGACGCGCUCCUCUGCCAAAGUGCGCUGCUGCCGAAAGUACGACUCGCACUUGUUGGUGAAGAGCAGAGGGUCGGACUUGCCGUCGAAGCGCGGGAAAUCAAGCUUCUGGAACUUGGGGGGACGGUCCAAGUCGCGCUGGCCGCCGCCCGCGCUCUCGGACGUCGAAGCCGACUUCUCCUUCAUUGCCAGCAUGUCGGCCUUCAUGGAGGAUAUCUCCUCCUUAAAGGAUUUCAGCAUCUCGACGACAUCGGCGAUUGUGGGAGCAGCCAUGGCGGGUGGGGGAUGGGUGGACGCAGUGGAGGACGUAGGGGAUGGCGGCGGGGUAGGGUGGGCGGCGGCAGUGGAGGCUUGAGAGGUUGACGAGGAUCGGCGUGACCGUGAUACCAGGUUGUCAAGAGCGUUCUUGCCCAGCGACGGCGGCCCUCGGCUACGUAGCUCGUAGCCUUGGUCCGUGAUAACUGGCGGGGUUAUGCCCCCUCGCCUAACCUCGCUGGUCGGGUUAUACCCCCUGGCCGGUGGCUUGAGAGAAGAGAGAAGAGAGAUAGGUUUAAUCUUGCUUGAUUCCAAAAGGUCUCCAAUUACAAGGCUUUAUAGCCUAGACUUCCAACAAGAAAGGAAACUAAUCUUCUAGACUUAAGAAAACCAGAUAAUAUGUUUCUAAACAAACCAUAUCUUAGCAAACCUAGACUCUCCUUUUCUGGCCAAGCCGCCUGGGCGCCUGGCUAGCCACUAACAGCGCCAGCCCCCUUGGCCAGGCUCUGGGCGCGCUCAGCGGCCCUGCGCACAUCGCGCAGCCUGCGACGCCUAGUGUAUGUAUUUCCCCACAUGACACAUUGCAAUGCAAAGAGGAGGGGGACCUUGAUCAGAUUACUGAUCCAUACCUAAGGGGAAGAAUUAAUCCGUGGUCUCGUAACAAGUUUGCCGAAACUGCUCUGAAGUGUGUUGCUGAUAAAGAUCGUGACCGUCCAUCGAUGGGAGAUGUGCUAUUAGACCUAGAGUAUGCCCUUAAGUUGGAUGAGAGUCUGGCAAGCGAAUGUGCCAAGAUUUUGCCGUCAGGCCUGUGCCGCCAGUUCUCACUUUCAGAGAUGGAGGCUGCGACAAACAACUUCCACGAGUCACUCCUUAUGGGUAGGGGUUCAUCUAGUAGUGUUUACCUUGGCAAGAUUGAUUCAGCGGCAUUGGCAACCAUGGUAGCUGUUAGGCGUGUUUACGGUGUACGUGACAUCCAUUGCCUGAUAGAGACUGUGUUGAAGCUCGGCCAUGGUCAUCUUGUGCCACUGGUUGGUUAUUGCCAUGAGAAGGAGACGACGCUCCUGAUUUAUGAAUACGUGGCUGGUGGAGAUCUUCGUGAGCACCUCUACGGGAUGAAGCCACCCCUUAGCUGGAGGCAGCGUAUUGAGACCUGCAUUGGUGUUGCUCGUGGCCUGUGCUACCUUCACGGAUUACAACUCACCCACGGGGCAGUGAGGACGUCAAACAUUCUACUGGAUGAUCAGGAAUGUCUUGCUAAGAUCACGAAUAUAGCUCCGCCACCCACUGAGGUCUGUGAAACUGAUUCUUACAGCGAUCCUGAGUACUUGCGCACCGGGCUGCGCACUGAGAAAUCAGAUGUCUAUUGUUUUGGUCUUGUGCUACUCGAAGUCCUCUUUGCUCGCCCUGUUAUC
This 11176-nucleotide long non-coding RNA is filed under the name Sorghum bicolor (sorghum). RNAcentral describes it as "long non-coding RNA (SBIC_LNC001564)". The record is from RNAcentral. Lineage: Eukaryota; Viridiplantae; Streptophyta; Magnoliopsida; Poales; Poaceae.